GAUGAACGCUGGCGGCGUGCCUAAUACAUGCAAGUCGAGCGAACAGAUGAGGAGCUUGCUCCUCUGACGUUAGCGGCGGACGGGUGAGUAACACGUGGAUAACCUACCUAUAAGACUGGGAUAAUUUCGGGAAACCGGAGCUAAUACCGUAUAAUAUAUUGAACCGCAUGGUUCAAUAGUGAAAGACGGUUUUGCUGUCACUUAUAGAUGGAUCUGCGCUGCAUUAGCUAGUUGGUAAGGUAACGGCUUACCAAGGCAACGAUGCGUAGCCGACCUGACAGGGUGGUCGGCCACACUGGAACUGAGACACGGUCCAGACUCCUGCGAGAGGCAGCAGUAGGGAAUCGUCCGCAAUGGGCGAAAGCUUGACGGAGCGACGGCGCGUGAGUGAUGAAGGUCUUCGGAGCGGAAAACUCUGUUAUGAGUGAAGAACAGAUGUGGAAGUAGCUGUGCACGUCUUGACGGUACCUAGUCAGAAAGCAACGGCUAACUACGUG
Molecule: ribosomal RNA, 497 nt
Filed under: uncultured bacterium
Lineage: Bacteria
Description: partial 16S ribosomal RNA
Rfam family: Bacterial small subunit ribosomal RNA
Source: RNAcentral